UGAACCGCAUGGUUCAAAAGUGAAAGACGGUCUUGCUGUCACUUAUAGAUGGAUCCGCGCUGCAUUAGCUAGUUGGUAAGGUAACGGCUUACCAAGGCAACGAUGCAUAGCCGACCUGAGAGGGUGAUCGGCCACACUGGAACUGAGACACGGUCCAGACUCCUACGGGAGGCAGCAGUAGGGAAUCUUCCGCAAUGGGCGAAAGCCUGACGGAGCAACGCCGCGUGAGUGAUGAAGGUCUUCGGAUCGUAAAACUCUGUUAUUAGGGAAGAACAUAUGUGUAAGUAACUGUGCACAUCUUGACGGUACCUAAUCAGAAAGCCACGGCUAACUACGUGCCAGCAGCCGCGGUAAUACGUAGGUGGCAAGCGUUAUCCGGAAUUAUUGGGCGUAAAGCGCGCGUAGGCGGUUUUUUAAGUCUGAUGUGAAAGCCCACGGCUCAACCGUGGAGGGUCAUUGGAAACUGGAAAACUUGAGUGCAGAAGAGGAAAGUGGAAUUCCAUGUGUAGCGGUGAAAUGCGCAGAGAUAUGGAGGAACACCAGUGGCGAAGGCGACUUUCUGGUCUGUAACUGACGCUGAUGUGCGAAAGCGUGGGGAUCAAACAGGAUUAGAUACCCUGGUAGUCCACGCCGUAAACGAUGAGUGCUAAGUGUUAGGGGGUUUCCGCCCCUUAGUGCUGCAGCUAACGCAUUAAGCACUCCGCCUGGGGAGUACGACCGCAAGGUUGAAACUCAAAGGAAUUGACGGGGACCCGCACAAGCGGUGGAGCAUGUGGUUUAAUUCGAAGCAACGCGAAGAACCUUACCAAAUCUUGACAUCCUUUGACAACUCUAGAGAUAGAGCCUUCCCCUUCGGGGGACAAAGUGACAGGUGGUGCAUGGUUGUCGUCAGCUCGUGUCGUGAGAUGUUGGGUUAAGUCCCGCAACGAGCGCAACCCUUAAGCUUAGUUGCCAUCAUUAAGUUGGGCACUCUAAGUUGACUGCCGGUGACAAACCGGAGGAAGGUGGGGAUGACGUCAAAUCAUCAUGCCCCUUAUGAUUUGGGCUACACACGUGCUACAAUGGACAAUACAAAGGGCAGCGAAACCGCGAGGUCAAGCAAAUCCCAUAAAGUUGUUCUCAGUUCGGAUUGUAGUCUGCAACUCGACUACAUGAAGCUGGAAUCGCUAGUAAUCGUAGAUCAGCAUGCUACGGUGAAUACGUUCCCGGGUCUUG
RNAcentral lists this ribosomal RNA (1215 nucleotides) under Staphylococcus aureus. RNAcentral's name for it is "bacterial SSU rRNA". It matches the Rfam family "Bacterial small subunit ribosomal RNA", at positions 182 to 1383 of the family's 1533-position model. Lineage: Bacteria; Bacillati; Bacillota; Bacilli; Caryophanales; Staphylococcaceae. The record is from RNAcentral.